Sander lucioperca (pikeperch) is the source of this 761-nucleotide long non-coding RNA. RefSeq lists it as uncharacterized. NCBI's taxonomy places the organism in Eukaryota, Metazoa, Chordata, Actinopteri, Perciformes, Percidae. The transcript has 2 exons. The record is from RefSeq and is a predicted model, not a curated record.
GACUUUGUAAUGUGUGCAGAAUGUGGUUUUGCAUUAUCUUGUUGAAAUAUGCAUGGACGUUCCUGGAAAAGAUGUCUUCUUGAAGGCAGCAUAUUGUGCUCCAAAAUCUCUAUGUACUUUUCAGCAUUAAUGGUGCCAUCACAGAAGUGCAAGUUACCUUUGCCUAGGGCACUGACACAACCCAAUACCAUGACAGACCCUGGCUUUUGGACUUGUUGCUGGUAACAGUCUGGAUGAUCCUUUUCUUCUUUGGUCCGGAGCACACGGUGUCCAUUUCUCCCAAAAAAUACCUGAAAUAGUGAUUCAUCUGACCACAGAAGUCGACAGCGCUUCUGGACACUGUUAACAUAGGGCUUCCUUUUGGCACAGUACAGUUUUAACUGGCAUUUGUGGAUGUAACUACGUAUUGUGGUACUUGACAAAGGUUUGCCAAAGUAGUCCUGAGCCCAUGUGGUGAUAUCGCUUAUAGAUGAAUGACGAUUCUUGAUGCAGUGCCGCCUGAGGGAUCGGAGAUCACGGUUGUUCAGCUUAGGCUUGCGCCCUUGUCCUUUACGCACUGAAAUUCCUCCACAUUCCUUGAAUCUUUUAAUUAUGUUAUGCACUGUUGAAGGUGAAAUAAGCAAAUGUCUUCCUAUCUUUCUUUGAGGAACAUUGUUUUUAAACAUUUCAAUAAUUUUCUCACGUAUUUGUUGGCAAACUGGCGAUCCUCGGCCCAUCUUUGCUCCUAAAGGACUAGACCUUUCUUGGAUGCUGCUUUUGUA